Molecule: ribosomal RNA, 253 nt
Filed under: uncultured bacterium
Lineage: Bacteria
Description: partial 16S ribosomal RNA
Rfam family: Bacterial small subunit ribosomal RNA
Source: RNAcentral
UACGAAGGGUGCAAGCGUUACUCGGAAUCACUGGGCGUAAAGCGUGCGUAGGCGGUUCGUUAAGUCUGUUGUGAAAGCCCUGGGCUCAACCUGGGAACUGCAGUGGAUACUGGCGAGCUAGAGUACGGUAGAGGAAGGUGGAAUUCCCGGUGUAGCGGUGAAAUGCGUAGAGAUCGGGAGGAACACCAGUGGCGAAGGCGGCCUUCCGGACCAGUACUGACGCUGAGGCACGAAAGCGUGGGGAGCAAACAGG